This 480-nucleotide ribosomal RNA is filed under the name uncultured bacterium. RNAcentral's name for it is "bacterial SSU rRNA". It matches the Rfam family "Bacterial small subunit ribosomal RNA", at positions 29 to 507 of the family's 1533-position model. The record is from RNAcentral.
ACGAACGCUGGCGGCGUGCCUAACACAUGCAAGUCGAGCGAGAAUUUCGCAGCGGAAUCCUUCGGGAGGAAGCAGUGAAAGGAAAGCGGCGGACGGGUGAGUAACGCGUGAGUAACCUGCCUUCAGGAGGGGGAUAACAUUCCGAAAGGGGUGCUAAUACCGCAUGACAUUGUUUUUUCUGCAUGGAAGAACAAUCAAAGAUUUAUCGCCUGAAGAUGGACUCGCGUCUGAUUAGAUAGUUGGUGGGGUAAAGGCCUACCAAGUCGACGAUCAGUAGCCGAACUGAGAGGUUGAUCGGCCACAUUGGGACUGAGACACGGCCCAGACUCCUACGGGAGGCAGCAGUGGGGGAUAUUGCGCAAUGGGGGGAACCCUGACGCAGCAACGCCGCGUGAAGGAAGAAGGUUUUCGGAUUGUAAACUCCUGUUGUUGAGGAAGAUAAUGACGGUACUCAACAAGGAAGUGACGGCUAACUACGUG